UGUGCAUCUCCUCCAGCCCAACCAAAAACCUGAGCUGACCCAAAGCCCUAGAAAUUCCAUCACACACCAUGCCGUCUAGCCCAGCCCACCCCCACCAAUUCAAACCCAUCUUCUUUCGUGUGACCCCUCAAAAACGAAAAAUCUUCUUUUCUGUAAAAAAAAAUAUAUCCCAUCCUCCUGCCCCCAUCUCCGGGCACUGACGGCGCCGGCGGCGCUAGGUGACCAGAGCCAGCUGCCAGCUGCCGACGCUUCUCCCUGUUCGCGCCCUUCGUCCCACGAGGUAUGGUCCUAAUUCUGGGUGGCUACACCCGUACAGAUAUGAGAAAUCGCCAUAGGUUUUCUCCCCUCUGCGUGGUUUGCGCAAACAGUUGGUUGCUGAAGAACUCGUUGCGAUUCAGGGUAGAUAAUGGCCACUUCGCUUGUCUGAUUUUUUUGUUCUUCUAUCCGGCUGUUGCAAAUCUCAGUCCGAUUUAUUUAUGUAAAUAUAUGGUGCCUGAAGAUUCAGUCAUAUCCGAGCCUGACUGAAAUGUCUGAACCACUAAGGGCUACAGUAUUCGAUGCUAGUAGCAUACUAUAGUAUGGAUAAGCAUUUGCACUCCUAUGAAGAUGUUAGAUGCUGUAUUAUGCUAUGUAACUUGUGAUUUACCAUAUUAUCCUUGGGUGAAGCAAUCAAGCAAUUUUCUUUACGGGCUUCCAUAUGUUCUGACAUGGUAGACUUGGUUUCAGGAGACAAGUACUUACCCCAAGCUAUUUAUAGUUCGAAUUCAUCUAUUUGGCUAUUGAGAUUCACACCUAAUCAAUGUCAAGUAAUUUUUCAACAUAUGGUUUACAUCGUAGUGAUUUGGUAUAUGCAAUAAUUCCAUCAUGUUAGAAAUGAAAGAUAGUCUAUCGCAAUUUCUUUCCUUCAGGUUCAGGAUUACGAGCGUAACCUCGGUAUCUAGAUGCAGACGUUCCUCUGAAUUAUCCAGCAAUGCUCCUUUUUCCUUAGAGUAGACAGAAUAGUCACAUUGUUAUAGAAGGUACUAUUGAACAUUUGAGCAAGAAGAUGUCAUCGCUGAAUAUGGCAGUUUCCAACACUUCUAUUUUUCUUCUUCAACAAGGUCGGGCUAUAACAAACUGCAAUAAGCGAUUAUUUCAGAAGCUCUGAAUACAAAGGAUCUUGUUUGUAUUGCAUAGAAUGGGACCAAGUAUCUGCUCUGGUGUGGCUAGCUGAGUACGUGUGCUCGCAGCCCUCCUUCCUGUGUUCGAGGCACACCCUUCUCAGGGUGCCUGCUCAGGUUCUUCUUCAUCUUCAAGAAAUGCCGCUCAGAGAUAGUCUGGUUGGUCUAGCAUUGCAUAAAACCUAACGAGAUUCGAAACAAAGCUAAUCAUUAGUUGGUUGGAGUAAAUUCAUAGAGAUGACAUAUUAUAUUCAAUGUUCAGGAUAUCGGUAACUGGUACCAUAUCGGCCGGGAGCUGAUAAGGGAUUAAUCGGCGAAUUGGCCAUUUAACUGAAUAUAUCUGUAACCCAUUUAUCGGUAGUUUAACUAGGGCCAUAUCUGUAUAUCCUAGGCUACAUAGCAACAUGCAUGCAUUGUACUGAAUGUCUAAAUAUGCAAUCCUAGGCUACAUAGCAACAAGGAAGAGUGUUACCUUGAUGUUCUGAUGAUGUCUAGAUCUACAUAGAAGAGCAGCAGCAACAACAACAACACAGCAGCAGUAAGUGUACAUCACUACCUAACAUCAAAGGAGAGCAGCACAGCAACAGUACUACUUGUACAUCGCAUAAGAGAGCAGCACAGCAGCAGCAGUAAUAGUACAUCAGCAUUUACAGAACAACACAACAUAAGGAGAGUAGUGCUUCUGUUCUUGGCAUAGGAGAGCAGUUUUGGGCCAAAAAAUGCUUCCCAGUUAAUCGGCCCAGCCGAUAAUUCGGCCUGACAGCCAACUGAUUAUAGGCUUUUCAGACUGAUUAACUGGCUCUCCCAGUUAAUGGACUUGAAUAACACUUUCUCGUGUCGGGGGGGGGGGGGGUCCGAAUAGCAGUUAACUGGCCGAUAUUUGGAACAUUGAUUAUGUUUACUCUUUGAGAGCCCAAGUCAUAUUAAUUUACCCUAUAUCAAUGCUGAGCAUAGAACUUCAACUUUCCCUUAUGCUGCUUGAUGUUUGCUAAUGGGUCGCAGCAUGCAUAUUUUCAUCGUUGGUUGCUUCACUUCUGUAAUUGUUGAUGAAUUUGUGCAUGACUCUACCCCUACAUAACUAAUUCACACAUGUACAAAGCCUGGCAAUGAACUAUCCAGCAGAGAUCCAAGUGGUCACAUUCAAUAGCACUUUUGGAGUUUUGGUCUUGCCAAUAAAGAAUUUCUUUGGUUUCUUUUCUUUUGAAAUUGAACAAUACACAGCUGCGUUGCAUGCAGCAUGCUUGCUGAAAAUAUAUUCGUAUAACAGUUAAACCUCCUGCUCUUAAAGUUGUUUGCAUAGUUGAUAUACUGAAAAUUUUCUAAAUGGAAAAUGGUCACUUGAUCAUGGUUUUCAUUUUAAGUUUAUCUUGGCAAUAUUAUUUGAAUGUAGUUCAAAAACUUAAAUAGCCCAAUGGUUUGGCCUACUGCAAAUUGGCAGCUUUUUCCUGGUACGGGGUCAAAGGUGGAACCUUUCUAUUCAAGCACUGAGGUACAUAACACUGUAUCUUCCAUCAGGACAGUCAAUCAGCGCUAUCAUGAAUGUUAUGGUCCUUUGCAUAAAUGAGGCAAAUGCUGAAGCACUUUUUGUUGGCAGGUGGAAAGGAUUCAUGAACCAUGAUGCCAGAAUUAUCUUACGGCUGAUUCUUAACCUUUCUUUUCCUGUUACUGUAUGUUACAGGUAAAUACCUCAGUGUCCAAGUUGCUGCAGUCUGUAACGCUGAAUGUUCUACUGCAUAUGGUUUUUAUAUUUAGACGAACUUGAUUUACCUGAAACUGAUUUCUAUUUCCUAGACAUUUUAAACUUAGCUAUGGAAUCUGUAGGUCUGUUGUUUGCUUGUCCUAUCAAGGUAAUUUAAUAAGCUAACAAAAUAAUUGAGCGGCUCUGCUUUUGAGUGCAUAUGUCACUGUUUUAUUUAUCACGAACUUAUAUGCUGUUCCAUUUUUCACACAAGACUAUACUUGACCAUUGGCCCGUUGCAUCCUUUCUUCACUUGGUCAAAGGUUGAUUUGAAAGAAAAGAAAGGCUAUGGCAGCUGAACAGUGAUCUAUGAGCACACUCCUACUGAUGGUCGGUAAUUUGAUGCUGCUUCCUGUGAUUCAUUUAAUAUUCGGGCUAGUUGCUAGCUCUGAUUAUAUGCUUUCCAUCUCCCUUGCCCACUUUUCUGCCUAGUUUCCACCAUAAAAUAUCAUCCAGUGACUGGGCUGCAAAUAUAUCUUUAAGACAUAUAUAGUUUUUUGUUAAGGUGAUAUGAUGACAGGGAGUUUGUAUCUACAACUAAAAUUUGAAUUAGUCAAGCAUAUUUACUGAAGCAAAGUUACACCACGUAAAGCAUGGUAUCGUGUGUUCUUAGUCGCAUCAGUGCGAGGGAAAGGAUGUCUCUAACACUCAUUCUCUUCUGUGGUUGGGUAGUUAAGAGGAAAAGGCAAAAGCUUCCGGUGUCUAAUCUCUUUCGACAUGUGCUGGCAUUCCAACGAAACAUAAGCCAGUAUCAUGGUAUUUCCAAUAGGUUGCAUUGCGUCUGAGACCGAGUUCUCAAUGGACGAAGCCUGCCUAGGACAAGAAUGCACAUGUUUCUUCUUGUUGUUCCAUGUGAUCUCUGCACUUGUUCUGAAGAAAGGUGAUGUGAUUGCUUUGUGAACUACCUAAGCCUAAUCCCAGAUGCAAAGAAGGGAGUUGGCAUGGUUCUUCCCUUGAAUGAUUAUCUUUGUCAGCUCAGAAUAUUCCUGCAGGUUUUCACUACUUCCAAAUGUUACUCCACAGCACACACUAUUGCAGCUUUGAAAUUUGUUUUUCUCCAUGAUGUUAUUUCUCUUGGUGUUAUGUUCUCCUGUCUCAAGAUCUGAACUUUGGGAUGGAAAGCACAAAAUAAUAGGCUUCACAUGUCCCUAUCAGAUGAAUCUUUAUACCCUUUGUUUGUCAAGUUGAGAUUCCUUCAUAUGUUUUGCAUUACUAUAAGAUUUCACAUAUUAAAAUAGGCAUGCUAUCCUUGCAAAACUAUUGAAUAUCAUUAAAUUGAGGGUUUGUAUUUUUUGUCUGACAGAUGUUUUAAAUCCUUGCUUUUGAAGUAGAUGCAGCACGUAAGAAAGGUGAAGGCGUGAUGACCUUGGACCCCACUCAAAUAGGGACCAUCCAUAGCCUACAUGUAAUAGCAUGUUUGGGCUGCCCUGCAAUGUCUGAAUGCUUCUGGACAUCCUAUACCGUUAUUCUUCCAUUCUGAGUCGCUAAUCCGUAGGGGGAUGGGGUAGAGCAACAGGUGCCUGGUGGCCAGAGAAUGAGCAAAUGAAACCAACACCCUGCCUUCUUAGAUAUCUAGGCUGGCAUGCAAAUGCUGAUGAUAUCCUUUCGACCGAAGGGGCCUACUCCUUUGGGAUCCUUAAGAUUCAAGUAUCCUUAACUGGUCACCCCAAUUAUAUGAAACGAAGAAAAGGAGAGGGAAAGAACACACAACACACACCCGGAGAACGAGGUAGGGCAGAAUGGUAGGACUCUCAUCUAAGGUUUGCCUUAAUGGCCCAAGAAUUGCCCACCACUGCUAAUGUGAGGUGGAGUUUGCUGGACCAUCAAUUGAGCCAGCCCAAUUAGGUCUCCACAUGCAUGAGUGGGUGAUCAUGUGUCAAGUUUAUGCAGGUUAGCAUGCACUUUGUCCGUCGGAAACGAUGUAUCAUUAGGCGAAGGAGGGGAAGGAGGUUGUCUAUAAAUAUGCAGUGCGAUGGAUAGGGGUUGGUUUGUGCUGAAAACAAGCUAGCUGGGAGCAUAGUGGAAGAAGAGAGAGGCCACCUCGUGAUGAAGAGGCUGGUGGUCUGAGGAGGUGCGAGCCGAUCGUGCGGUUCAGCUGCUGCGGUGUGCGGUAUGGCGAGUGCCGCCGCAACCACGCCGCCAGCACGGGGGGCUAUGCCGUGGACGGUUGCCGGGAGUUCAUCGCCGAGGGCGAGGAGGGCACCUUCGGCGCGCUCAAGUGCUCGGGCCUGCGGCUGCCACCGCAGCUUCCACCACAGGGUGCAGGUCUACGAGGUUGCAUGGGACUGCGAGUCCGAUACGUCGUCAUCGUCUUCAAGCAGCAGCUAGGCUGCUGCCGCUGCCAUUCCUCUCCAUCGUCAAGCUGCUGCUUCUGCUGCUGUUGCAUCAUGUCUA
This is a non-coding RNA of Triticum urartu, 5292 nucleotides long. The record is from RefSeq and is a predicted model, not a curated record. NCBI's taxonomy places the organism in Eukaryota, Viridiplantae, Streptophyta, Magnoliopsida, Poales, Poaceae.